GCUCUGCGGCUCAUGGCCUUUGGGCAGAUCUAUAAGGUCUUAGAAAUGGACCCUCUCCCCUCAAGUAAACCUUCACAGAAAUUCCCCUGGUCAGAUAAAGAAGGUCUUGGGCUGAAGAGACCUUAUGAAGAUGGUCUGCUGGACGACAAAGACCUCAUCAAAAAGAUGAAGCGCAACCUGAGAAAAGCAGUUCUUGAC
This is a long non-coding RNA of Sinocyclocheilus grahami, 198 nucleotides long. RefSeq lists it as uncharacterized. The record is from RefSeq and is a predicted model, not a curated record. Lineage: Eukaryota; Metazoa; Chordata; Actinopteri; Cypriniformes; Cyprinidae. The transcript is spliced from 3 exons.